UUACUUUCUUCAGUUGCUAUUCUAGUGCAAAAUAUUAGGCCGUGUUUGUAUGCAUCAUUGAAUUUAAUUGCAAAUAUUAGGCCGUGUUUGUAUGCAAAAUAUUAUGUCCUUCUCUCCUUCCAUUUAAUCCAACUGAUAAGUGAACGGCUCCAACUUAUAUUGACAGUGAAGCAAAAAUGCAUCGUGUUAGCAAAGGUGCACCAGAGCAGGUAAUGUUGCCAUUACUUUUGUGGUUUUCUUGUUACUAACAACUCUAAUUGUCAGUGGCUAGUCAGUUGCUUAUCCUCCUUGGGCAAUGGUUUUGCAUAUUCUGAAACUUGCACGCAAUAAGUUAGCCAUAGUGCAGAGAGUUAACACUGCGAUUAGCAAGUUUGCAGAUAGAAGACUUUGAUCACUUACUAUAGCAUUCCAGGAGGCUCCAGAGGGAAGCAAAUAUAGUUCGAGAGGUCCAUGUAAAUUCAUCGGUCUCAUGCCUCUCUUUGAUCUUCCUUGGCAUGACAGUACAGAAACAAUCAGGCACACUCGGCAUAAAUCUUGAAAUAAUCACAGUGUAUGCAGAUUUCAGUGACAGACAAUCAAUACGUCUGUGUCUCUGUGUGCAUCCAAUUAAAUAUGGGCAAUGCCAUUCUGUCAAGUGAUGCCUGCCAAACUCAUUGAAAUAGAAAUCCAAAAAGCAACUCAUAAUUUUACAUCAGUGAUUGGGCAAGGGGCAUUUGGUCCUGUUUACAAGGCUCAGAUGUCGACUGGCAAGACAGUUGCGGUUAAAGUGCCACUAAUUCCAAGCAAGGAGAGAAGGACUUCUAGUUUGGAUUAUUUAAGUUCGAGCUUGCAACUGACAGGGCUUCUAGUUUAUAUUUUAUUGCUAGCAUUCCAUUUGGAUUGCUGGACAGCCAAAUUAUUCAAAAAUUUCCUUUUACUUGUCUAAUUCUUAGAAUAAUUUUGGUCUAUUUUCUACUCUCUUCUUAGAACUCUGUUUGCACUUCAGCUGUAUAGAUGUGUAUGCAUUUUAUUUGGAAACUCUUGCCAGCAAGUUGAUUCUGGAAGUCUUUCAGUCCUGAAAAUUGCAAAAAUGCAAAAAAUACAAAAUUCUUAGAAGCUACUUGUUCAACUAUCUUACUUCCCAAUCUCAUAAAGCAUUAGUUAAUGAUUUCUAUUCAUGUACAGGUUUGAGGAGCAAGAGGCUCCUGUUUUCAAGCAUGCCCUUGAACUUAUAUCUUAAAUG
This is a long non-coding RNA of Magnolia sinica, 1222 nucleotides long. RefSeq lists it as uncharacterized. The record is from RefSeq and is a predicted model, not a curated record. The transcript has 4 exons. Lineage: Eukaryota; Viridiplantae; Streptophyta; Magnoliopsida; Magnoliales; Magnoliaceae.